CUGUGAACUAUUCUUACUUGAAAACAUUUGGCUGUGUUGUAUAUGCUCAUCAAAACAUAGGAAAACUUGAACCUAGAUCCCUUAAAUGUGUGUUUUUGGGUUAUGCUGAAAAUGUUAAAGGAUAUAGGCUGCGGGUUUAUGGGAAAAAAGGUUACAGGGUUAUUAUAAGAAGGGAUGUGGUUUUUAAUGAGUUGUGUAUGCCAUGUUUGGAAAGGAAAGAGGGAAAUUUGACUGAAAAUAAUGUCCAAAUUGAGGUGGAACCUAUUAAAAUUGACAAUACCAGUUCUGUCCCCCUAGAAGCAGCAACUAAUGAGGCUGACCAUAAUGAAAAUGAGCCUAAUUUGGCUGAACCUGAGUAGUAUAAUGAAGAUAAUACACCUCUAGAUGAAUACCAACUCACUAGAGACAGGGAUAGGAGACGAAUUAGACCACCAGCUAGGUUUAAUGGUGAUGACUUUGUGUCGUUGCUCACUUAUCAAGAUGAAUCUGAAGCUGAACCUAGUUCCUACCAUGAAGCUUUAAAAUCGAAAGAUUUUAAGCGAUGGUUAAUUGCUAUGGAAGAAGAGAUGUCUUCCCUAUACAAAAAUAAAACUUGGGAAAUGGUUGAUAGACCUAAGGAUAAGAAACUAGUUGAUUGCAAAUGGAUUUAUAAGAUAAAGGAAGGGGAAGAUGGAACUAACAAUGUUAGAUACAAG
This 695-nucleotide long non-coding RNA is filed under the name Olea europaea subsp. europaea. Lineage: Eukaryota; Viridiplantae; Streptophyta; Magnoliopsida; Lamiales; Oleaceae. The record is from RNAcentral.